UCGUAGCCCUGAUGGAAGUGGCAUCCUUUUUUUGGCUACGAAAGCGAUUAGCUGAAGUAGCCAAAAAAAGAUACAACGAACAGCAGGACGAUGU
Molecule: small RNA, 94 nt
Filed under: Flavobacterium succinicans
Lineage: Bacteria; Pseudomonadati; Bacteroidota; Flavobacteriia; Flavobacteriales; Flavobacteriaceae
Description: Flavo-1 RNA
Rfam family: Flavo-1 RNA
Source: RNAcentral